RNAcentral lists this ribosomal RNA (221 nucleotides) under uncultured Actinomycetales bacterium. RNAcentral describes it as "partial 16S ribosomal RNA". It matches the Rfam family "Bacterial small subunit ribosomal RNA", at positions 110 to 334 of the family's 1533-position model. Lineage: Bacteria; Bacillati; Actinomycetota; Actinomycetes; Actinomycetales. The record is from RNAcentral.
GUAACACGUGGGUGAUCUGCCUUGCACUCUGGGAUAAGCUUGGGAAACUGGGACUAAUACCGGAUAGGAACCGUCUUUAGUGUGGUGGUUGGAAAGUUUUUUCGGUGCAAGAUGAGCUCGCGGCCUAUCAGCUUGUUGGUGGGGUAAUGGCCUACCAAGGCGUCGACGGGUAGCCGGCCUGAGAGGGUGUACGGCCACAUUGGGACUGAGAUACGGCCCAG